This 392-nucleotide unclassified non-coding RNA is filed under the name soil metagenome. Its description in RNAcentral is "partial contains 5.8S ribosomal RNA, internal transcribed spacer 2, and large subunit ribosomal RNA". The stretch from base 2 to 123 matches the Rfam family "5.8S ribosomal RNA", at positions 35 to 154 of the family's 154-position model. The record is from RNAcentral.
GGAUGAAGAACGUAGCGAAAUGCGAUACUUGGUGUGAAUUGCAGAAUCCCGUGAACCAUCGAGUCUUUGAACGCAGGUUGCGCCCGAAGCCACUAGGCCGAGGGCACGCCUGCCUGGGCGUCACACGCCGUUGCCCCCCCAUCUACUCCUUCGGGAUUGCGGGGGGGCGGAUGAUGGCCUCCCGUGCGCCUAGCCGCGCGGUUGGCAUAAAUACCAAGUCCUCGGCGACGCACGCCACGACAAUCGGUGGUUGCGAAACCUCGGUUGCCCGUCGUGUGCGUUCGUCGCGCAUCGAGGGCUCGAAAAAAUGCUCGGCUCCGGCUGGGCUUUCAACGCGACCCCAGGUCAGGCGGGGUUACCCGCUGAAUUUAAGCAUAUCAAUAAGCGGAGGA